Non-coding RNA from Termitomyces sp. Mi166#008, 80 nucleotides. The record is from the annotation of a GenBank genome assembly. NCBI's taxonomy places the organism in Eukaryota, Fungi, Basidiomycota, Agaricomycetes, Agaricales, Lyophyllaceae.
UCCCUCUUAGCUCAGUUGGUAGAGCGCGUCACUAGUACUGGUAGAUGACGAGGUCAGUCGUUCAAGUCGGCUAGAGGGAA